RNAcentral lists this ribosomal RNA (434 nucleotides) under uncultured bacterium. RNAcentral's name for it is "partial 16S ribosomal RNA". It matches the Rfam family "Bacterial small subunit ribosomal RNA", at positions 29 to 507 of the family's 1533-position model. The record is from RNAcentral.
AGCGAACGCUGGCGGCAGGCCUAACACAUGCAAGUCGAACGAACAUUUCGGGGCUAGUGGCGGACGGGUGAGUAACACGUGGGAACGUGCCUUUAGGUUCGGAAUAACUCAGGGAAACUUGUGCUAAUACCGAGUGUGCCCUUCGGGGGAAAGAUUGAUCGCCUUUAGAGCGGCCCGCGUCUGAUUAGCUAGUUGGUUGAGGUAAUGGCUCACCAAGGCGACGAUCAGUAGCUGGUCUGAGAGGAUGAUCAGCCACAUUGGGACUGAGACACGGCCCAAACUCCUACGGGAGGCAGCAGUGGGGAAUCUUGCGCAAGGGGCGAAAGCCUGACGCAGCCAUGCCGCGUGAAUGAUGAAGGUCUUAGGAUUGUAAAAUUCUUUCACCGGGGACGAUAAUGACGGUACCCGGAGAAGAAGCCCCGGCUAACUUCGUG